Ixodes scapularis (black-legged tick) is the source of this 73-nucleotide non-coding RNA. NCBI's taxonomy places the organism in Eukaryota, Metazoa, Arthropoda, Arachnida, Ixodida, Ixodidae. The record is from Rfam.
UCCUGGUUAGCUCAGUUGGUAGAGUGCUCCACUGGAAAUGGAAAGACUCCUGGUUCGAUACCAGGACCUGGCG